Molecule: long non-coding RNA, 4183 nt
Filed under: Coffea arabica (coffee)
Lineage: Eukaryota; Viridiplantae; Streptophyta; Magnoliopsida; Gentianales; Rubiaceae
Description: long non-coding RNA (CARA_LNC003076)
Source: RNAcentral
GUAUAUAACAUUGAGAAUGAAGGGUUCCCACAUGCGCCUAAGUUCAGGUCAUCUGUCAUCAUAGAUGAAACCAAGUUCACAUCUAAGUUUACCUUUCCAGAUCGAAGAGCAGCUGAGCAAGAUGUUGCAAAGCUCGCAUAUGAAACCAUAGUUAAAGACAAUAAAACCCUAACAGGAGGCCCUCAUAUUUAUCAGGUACAUCAAAUAUUCACAUGGCUGCAUUUCAUUCACCUUUUGUAGAACGUUCACUUUUCGAAAUACCAAUUUAUGUUUAUGUCAUGUCUAUGGAAAUUGUGCAAUAUAUCAUUUUCAGAUGACACCUUGUGCUUUCCUUCUCUCACCUGUUUUUUCUUAAGAACCUGAGGUUUUGCAAGUUAAUACUGUAUGAAUAUGCAACCAAGACUGGCCUUGGAGUUCCCGAAUACAACACCACCUUAGCAGAAGGGCCACCACGCCCAGUAUUCAUCUCUUCUUUUGUUCUUGGUGGCAAAAGUUAUAGUGGUCAAGUAGGUCGAAGCAAGAAAGAGGCGGAACAGCUGGUGGCACGACUGGCAUCCAAUCGCUCCUUGGUACAGUCAUAAACUUCUAUUCUGCUUUGUCGAAUUAAGUUUCUACCAGUAAUGCUCCUUCAAUUUAUCCUACUUAGAAACUGUCUGUCAAGGAUCGGAUUCAGGGAAGCUCACUGAAAUUAUCAAGAGCAAGGAGAGACUUUUCGCUACUCUAAGUGCUAAAAAGAACUCUGGAAGUCAAGGAACUAAAACUCUCUCUGUUCAUCAGUCGAGUAAUGCAGGUCUGUAAUCCAUUAAUCAUACGUGUGACAUAAAACUUAAUUUGGAAACUAAUAAUUAUGGUACUAAAGUUUGUAUUAUAUUCUCAUUGUCAGGAAAUUUGUCACAACAGCAAGCUAGCAUUCAGGUAACAAUUCACCUUGUGUCUCUAAUAAAAAUCAUACCCUUCAACGAUAAAGGAAUAAGUGAACAUAUAUCAAGUUAAUAUGCUCACAUAAACACAGGGAAGAGGUUGUAUAAAAAAGGCAGCUCAUAUUUUAAGCCAUUAUAUUUCAUAUGUUCUCCAGUCCUUUCUUACACCUAUUUGAGUGGACCGCUCACUUUAUUCUUUGUUGCAGACUGGGAUUAUCAGUUAUAACCCUGAUCGUUGCACAGUUACUUGUGCGAAAGGUUGGACAAAGCGCAAGGUUGAGAACAACUGGGAGCAGAAAAAGAAAAAAGGCCGUGUGGGAGUAGCUGUCAAACGACCUGGAUAUAACUUCAGGCCUUGAACACUGCUCUUCAGCCAACAAUUGUGCCUAAAACAGAAUAUAAUUUUCUCUUGGUAGUGGUGAGGCUUCUCCUUCAGAGACAUUGGCUUAUGUGAAGGAGAGGUCUAUUGAAAAUAGUUUAUGCAGAAUACUGCUCCUGCAUGCUCUUUUUGGUUGGUAUUUGCCGCGUUUGCAACUGUAAAAUGCCUAACAUUAACAAGACGUUAUUUCGAUGGAUAGUGUUUUAAAGCAAAAGUUCUUUGGCAUGUGUUUUGAUGAUUGUUGAUUACGUCUUAAUUCUUAAAUUUCACUAUUUGCAAGAAAUCAUGGGCUUUAUCCUGUCUGAAAUUAAUAGAUCUUCCACUGCUAGAAGACAUUCCUCGUAUGAAUAUAUGAUUCACAUUGUGGCAAAGUCUGAACAAUUAACUAUGGGCAAAAUGGGUGUCUAAAAGUUUCUUGAUUGACCUUCAGAUUGAAUUGAGGUCCACCCCUAACCCCACUUCAUCUUUACAAGUCCGUGGACCCCUGUGUGUCUGUGUGGGGGGGGGGUGUCAGAAACAAGCCCUUGUCUUUUAAUCUGUCGUCAAUUUUCUAUUUCUAAAUUUGUCCAACUUGAUCAAAACAUUUUGAUCUGCUGUCGAAGGAGCUAUGAAUGAUGCCUUCUGGGAUAUCAAGGAUCAAAUGACUGUUAGAUGUACACGCUGCUAAAUAUAUCACCUGAUUUCAAGUAUGAAAUUGGAGUAUAAAUCCAUUGAGAGGUGAUAAUUGGCAUGAUUACAAGAAUAUUGCUGUUUUUUUUCUCUGUUUUAAACCAACGUCGAUUUUUAGAAAAUUUAAUUCGCAUGAUGCUAAUUAUACUUAGUUUUUAAAACUGAAUGCAGCAGAAGUCGAUCUCCUGGAAAUGGACUUCUCUACUACUUUCGUUUUUUUUCCCCCUUCUUCUUCUUUUUCAGCCCCAACUUAGUCAAAUGCAGCCAAUGGCUUGAAAUCUCAGUCACGAGUCCAAUUUUAAUGGUCAUGAGAUCUUCACAACACUCUACUCUACCAAAGAUUCCACGGUUUUAUUGAGGGAAGAAAAAGUUAACUCACACUGGCAACAAUGCUGGUGGGAAUAAGUCUUGCCGUCAAUUGGAGCAGGUCUACGUAUUAGGCUACUGCUUUUCUUUGAUCCUUUUCCCUUGAUGCUAUUGCUUUUACUGGAUAGAGUUUGUAGAGUGUAAUAGCCUGUCUAGUAAUAGCCAGUAGUUUUCUAAACUCAAAUAUGACUGUGUCUAAUUAAAAUAGUUAUGUUGUAACUAUUCAACAAGUAUUGUUUUUAUGUUUUUCCCCAAUAAAGAUUUGUUCUUGAAAAAGAUAGUUAGCAGUUGAUUAGUAAAAAAAAAAAUUACAUGUUUUUUCUAUUGGUUUUUCUUUUUUCCUUCCCUUAAAUUAAACUUCAAAAGGAACUUAGCACGAAUUUGAAGUGCAAGCAAGAGCAAAACAAGAAUAUUUGACACAACUUUUAACUACAAAGAAUAAGAAUAAACGUACUCUUUCUUAGAAUACUCGGUUUAUGCCAUUGAAAAAUUCUUAGUCAUUAUUUGAGGAUAUGAGAUGCCGACACCUUUUGAAAUUGGAAGGUCAUUGCUAAAUAUGAUGUCCUGUCUUACUUUUAUUUUUUAGAAUCGAUUAAGAUGCUUCGUCCAAUUUGAUGCUUUAAUGAAGGAAUUGAACUUUGUGCAAAAAGUCACCCUACCGAUGCUACAGGAAAUGAUCACCAGGUGGCGUAAUUUUACAAGAACUUCCUAUUCCACCCAAAUCAGUCUGUGAUACGUCCUUGUGAAUGUCCUAGAAACAUAACAGAACGCACAAAAUUCUCCUAGAAAGAAACCAAGAUAUAUUGAACAAUGUACUUUGAAAGAAUAGGAAAAGAAGCAAAGAAAAGGAGAAAAAUAAAAGAAAUAAAAAACAUGAAAGAACAAAAAAGCAUCUUAGCCUGAUAAGCAAGGAAUAAAAGAACCAAAGCACUUGACACACAUUAGCAUAAAGCGCCGUUUCUGUUCUCAUCCCCAACCAUGUUCUUUCCUUGGAGCAAAAUGGCUAACAAAUUCCCCAUCUGUUCUGUCUGCACUUCUUGGGUGCAGGAGCCAAAACCUGAGGAUCAUCUUGGGUUGCCAUUGGAACCAUCCAAACCUGAACAUGGUUCGCAUUCUCACGUUCCCACUAUUAAUCUCCUCCACUAUGCAUGUGCUUUCCUCAUUACUCCUUCAUUUAUUUAAUCUCUACUACCAUUUCCUUCUCCUUUCCAUUGACUUCUCAAGAUUUUAGAUAAGUUUCCACGAACAUAUUUUUGUAACCAUGAUUGUUGCAUACAGGGCUUACAAAAAUAAAGCUAGCCAUGGAAAAUGGCAUUUGUAUUGCUUGCGCAUUUAGCUCAUAUUCAUUUCUGUAUGAUCUUUGUAGAAGGAUGUAAAUCAACCUAACAUCAUGAACUGUGAGCUUCAACGUCAUAGCAAGACUUUAUAGUUUGACAGAGUUUUUACUGCUGGCAGAUUAUGGUAUGUACAAGAAGCUGUUGCACCAGUAUGCCCAAAAAUCUGGAUUACCACUUCCAGUUUAUAAAAUUGAGAAUGAAGGGUUCCCACAUGCGCCUAAGUUCAGAUCAUCUGUCUUCAUAGAUGAAACCAAGUUCACAUCUAAGUUUACCUUUCCAGAUCGAAGAGCAGCUGAGCAAGAUGUCGCAAAGCUUGCAUAUGAAACCAUAGUUAAAGACAAUAAAACCCUAACAGGAGGCCCUCAUAUUUAUCAGGUGCAUCAAAUAUUUACAUGGCUGCAUUUCAUUCACCUUUUGUAGAACGUUCACUUUUCAAAAUACCAAUUUAUGUUUAUGUCAUGUCUACGGAAAUUGUGCAAUAUAUCAUUUUCAGAUGACACCUUGUGCUUUCC